CUGCUUGGGUCCAAGCUGGUGCACUUCUAGGCGAACUUUACUACAGAAUUUGGGAGAAAAGCAAAGUUCAUGCCUUCCCAGCUGGUGUUUGCCCAACUGUUGGUGUUGGUGGACACAUAACUGGAGGAGGAUACGGUAACCUGUUAAGAAAAUAUGGACUGUCAGUGGACAAUUUAGUUGAUGCACGCAUAGUGGAUGUUCACGGUAGAAUUCUUAACAGAGAAUCAAUGGGAGAAGACCUGUUUUGGGCGAUCAGAGGUGGGGGUGGUGCUAGCUUUGGAGUGAUAUCGGCCUACAAA
This 299-nucleotide long non-coding RNA is filed under the name Solanum melongena (eggplant). Its description in RNAcentral is "long non-coding RNA (SMEL_LNC000059)". Lineage: Eukaryota; Viridiplantae; Streptophyta; Magnoliopsida; Solanales; Solanaceae. The record is from RNAcentral.